Molecule: long non-coding RNA, 1631 nt
Organism: Oreochromis niloticus (Nile tilapia)
Lineage: Eukaryota; Metazoa; Chordata; Actinopteri; Cichliformes; Cichlidae
Exons: 3
Source: RefSeq, a predicted model, not a curated record
CGUGUUCCAACAGGACAAUGAUCCCACGCACAUCAAAACUGGUUUUGAAUGGAUAAAGCAGGCUAACCUUAACCUUCUGGAAAGCCCCGACCUCAAGCCUGUAGAAAGGGCUACACUUUAAAGCUGGGUCGGUACCAGGAAACUUACCAAUUUAAAUGAACUACCAAUUCUGCCAAGAGGCGUGGUCAAAUAUCGAGCCAGAAGUAUGCCAGAAGCUUGCUGAUUGCUACCAAAAACAUCGUGCAAUUUGCAAAGGCACAUUUAACUAAUCAUUACUGGGGGAUUAUGUACACGGGAAAAUUGAGAGAAUGAUUUUUUCAGAGUUAACAUUAUUUUCAUCUAAGAGUCAUUUUUACUCAUUUUGGAUUGUAAUCAUUUCGAUUGGCUGCUAGAGUUGGAGCAAAAAACCAGAGGAAAUUAUGUUAGUGGGCGAGACCACGCCCACUAACAUUUCCUAAGUUUCCUUCCAGCAGUGGAACAGAGACAACUGUCAGCCGUGAGCCAGGAUGCCAGCUGUGCGUCUGAAGUGCAGAGAACAACAGAAGUACAUCUGUUUUGAGGGCCAACUGACCUACGGAUCGUUUUUGGAAUGCGUUGCCAAGGAGUUCAACAUCCCAAACAUAUGGCUUCCCUAAGAUACUUGAUCCAAUUGUGAAGGAUAUGAAAAUCCCGGAGAGAGAUGGAGUUAAGAUUCCCCUGUAUGACCCAGUACAUGGAACUAUUGUCCAAGUUACUGGUGACAGCCUUGGUCUAAACUGUCUGUUUGGUUUUGUAGAGUUUUCCUUAUGUGAUUGGUGUUAAACAGUCUUGCAUUCUAAACUCAUUGCAGAACUUAAUACAUGUGAAAGUUUCUCUGUUGAUAUUAUGCAUGAUAUCUUGGAGGGAGCGGCAUAAUAUGAAAUGAAACUGAUUAUGUUACAUGAUCAGUAUACAACAUCAAAGGAAGUGGACAGGAGAAUUAAAAACUUUAACUAUGGCUACAUGGAACAAAACAACAAACCACCUACAGUGAAGUUGGGAGAGGACUCAAAUGACUUGGGGUUAAAUGCCAUCCAGUCCUGGUGUUUACUUCUUACUCAUCUUUGGAGACUUAGUUUGUCCAAAUGAUCAGCACUGGUAUUUGCUACUGCUGUUGCUUCAAAUAGUGACUAUUGUAUUUUCACCAGUGUUAUCAAAAGGUAUCAGUAUUUUCUUGAAACACCUGAUCACCGAACACCACAGGUUAUUCAAACGUUUGUUUCCACACAAGAAGCUGCUACCAAAGCAUCGUUUCAUUGUGCAUUAUCCUACAUGUAUACUCAAAACAGGACCACUUUAGCAUAGCUGGUGCAUGCGCUAUGAAGCGAAACACAACUUCUUUAAAAAAAAACAAUUGAGAAGUUUAAAAAAUGUAACUAAAACAUUGGCAAUAAGACAUCAAAUUUGUGGACUGGGACCAAAUGCUGUCUUUUUUUAGAGUAAAAUUUUAUUCAAUUUGAGUCAAAUUUACUCAGUGAAACUUACUGUGCAUGGAUACUUCUGACACUGUGUGGAUUAGAGCAAAUCCAAAAUAAAUUCAAUUUUGUGCACACAGUUCUUGUCUAUUAAAGUCAUUAAAGAUGUGUGCUGUGGAAUCAUUGCACCCUAAAAAC